This 121-nucleotide ribosomal RNA is filed under the name Amborella trichopoda. Its description in RNAcentral is "rRNA 5_8S_rRNA". It matches the Rfam family "5.8S ribosomal RNA", at positions 35 to 154 of the family's 154-position model. Rfam says of the family: 5.8S ribosomal RNA (5.8S rRNA) is a component of the large subunit of the eukaryotic ribosome. It is transcribed by RNA polymerase I as part of the 45S precursor that also contains 18S and 28S rRNA. Functionally, it is thought that 5.8S rRNA may be involved in ribosome translocation. Lineage: Eukaryota; Viridiplantae; Streptophyta; Magnoliopsida; Amborellales; Amborellaceae. The record is from Rfam by way of RNAcentral.
GAUGAAGAACGUAGCAAAAUGCGAUACUUGGUCUGAAUUGUAGAAUCACGUGAAUCAUUGAGUCUUUGAACACAAGUUGUUCCCGUGGCCAUAGGAUGAGGUCACAUUUGACUGGGCGUGA